AUGAAUUCUGGGAUUUGCAGUCUGUAGAUUAAUGAAGAAGUGGGUUAAUGAAGCAGAAGAAUCCUAUAGAGGAAAUUCACUGCCACACAGUAUUUGCAUACUCUUCUCAAGAAAUUCCAAGGACAACUGAUGCUGCAAUACCCCCCCAGUCCUUUGGGGACUCUGUCUAGUUAUUACAACGCACAAGAUGCAGGACAGGAGCGGCGCAUGGACUUGAAUUCAGACAGAUCUGAGCUCUUGUUAGGGCUGCCAUUUACAAACCGAUGAUGAAAGUGACACCAACGUGCAGCAUGUGGAUUGGAAGGAAGGGACUAGUUAGGACCGUAGUGAGACUGGAUUUCGAAAUAUUUGACAAAGAAAUGGAAUUAGAAAUCUUGAAACAAGGGU
Long non-coding RNA from Artibeus jamaicensis (Jamaican fruit-eating bat), 387 nucleotides. RefSeq lists it as uncharacterized. Lineage: Eukaryota; Metazoa; Chordata; Mammalia; Chiroptera; Phyllostomidae. The record is from RefSeq and is a predicted model, not a curated record. The transcript has 3 exons.